This is a long non-coding RNA of Mizuhopecten yessoensis (Yesso scallop), 270 nucleotides long. RefSeq lists it as uncharacterized. The transcript has 2 exons. The record is from RefSeq and is a predicted model, not a curated record. NCBI's taxonomy places the organism in Eukaryota, Metazoa, Mollusca, Bivalvia, Pectinida, Pectinidae.
UUGAUUUUGAGCUGACUCUGAUUGGCUGAAACAACAUCAUGUGACCACCUGUAAAAGUAGUUAUAAACCUGAGUGGUUUGCAGGUGUUCAAAAAAGUUGGUAGAACAAGUGUUAUUGACCUGCUAUAAAUAGAUUCUGGAACAGGUAUUCAAAAAAGUUGGUAGAUAAAGUGUUAUUGACCUGCUAUAAAUAGAUUCUGGAACAGGUGUUUAAAAAAGUUGGUAGAUAAAGUGUUAUUGACCUGCUAUAAAUAAAUUCUGGAAUUUUUGU